AUUGAACGCUGGCGGUAUGCUUAACACAUGCAAGUCGAACGGUAGCACGGUCUAGCUUGCUAGAUGGGUGACAAGUGGCGAACGGGUGAGUAACGCGUAGGAAUAUGCCUUGAAGAGGGGGACAACUUGGGGAGACUCAAGCUAAUACCGCAUAAUAUCUUCGGAUGAAGGUUGGGGACCUUCGGGCCUGACGCUUUAAGAUUAGCCUGCGUACGAUUAGCUAGUUGGUAGGGUAAAGGCCUACCAAGGCGACGAUCGUUAGCUGGUCUGAGAGGAUGACCAGCCACACUGGAACUGAGACACGGUCCAGACUCCUACGGGAGGCAGCAGUGGGGAAUAUUGGACAAUGGGGGCAACCCUGAUCCAGCAAUACCGCGUGUGUGAAGAAGGCCUGAGGGUUGUAAAGCACUUUCAGUGGGGAGGAGGAUUGAUUGGUUAAGAGCUGAUUGAUUGGACGUUACCCACAGAAGAAGCACCGGCUAACUCCGUGCCAGCCGCCGCAGUAA
This 506-nucleotide ribosomal RNA is filed under the name uncultured bacterium. RNAcentral's name for it is "partial 16S ribosomal RNA". It matches the Rfam family "Bacterial small subunit ribosomal RNA", at positions 30 to 523 of the family's 1533-position model. The record is from RNAcentral.